Long non-coding RNA from Helianthus annuus (common sunflower), 2792 nucleotides. RefSeq lists it as uncharacterized. NCBI's taxonomy places the organism in Eukaryota, Viridiplantae, Streptophyta, Magnoliopsida, Asterales, Asteraceae. The record is from RefSeq and is a predicted model, not a curated record. The transcript is spliced from 14 exons.
AAUUCAAGCUCUAAUUUCAAACCUGCAUCUCUCUCUCUCAAAUAUAGUCAUGAGGAAAAGAAAGGGGUGUCAAUCAAAAACCCUAAUUCACUCUAACGGAGAACAAGAAGAUGAAUUCAGAGAUCAACAGUCUAAUGAUUCAGAGAUCAACCCGAAUUCAACCAAUUGAUCAAAAUUUCAGGCCAACAUUCAUCCAGAUCGUGAAGAAAGGGGCAGUGGAGUAGUUCUCACCGGUGUCGUACCUCGCGACAUUUGUGAACUGCGGGAUAUGGGUGUUGUACGGGCUGCCAAUGGUGCAUCCACACAGCUUAUUGGUCAUCACAAUCAACGGUGCGGGUUUGUUCAUCGAGACCGUUUAUCUGCUCCUUUUCUUGAUCUACUCUAACCACAAGCAGAGGAUCAAGGUGCUGCUCAUAAUGCUGGCUGAGAUAGUGUUUGUUGGGGUUUUAUCUGCUUUGGUGUUGACUGUGGCUGAAAUAGUGUUUGUUGGGGUUUUACAGCAGCAAUCAUCCAUGGUUGCCCAACCUAAGAAAACCCUCUACGAUUUCACAGUCAUGGAUGCUAAGGGUAACGAUGUAGACCUUAGCGUACACAAGGGAAAAGUUGUACUUAUUGUUAACGUUGCGUCCAAGUGUGGGCUUAUAAACAACAACUAUGAUGAACUGAAUCAGAUUUAUUUGAAGUACAAGGAGAAAGGGCUUCACUGAUUUGGGAAUGUGAUGGAAGAGAAUAUGUAACAUCAACUAUCCAGACCGUAGACGCUUUCUUCUUUCUCAAAUCAUCCAAACCUGCUUGAAAGACUUGUGAAUAUUGCAGAGGAAGAUAAUGAGAAAUUCUGUUUAAAAGUCAAGAUCGCAUUGACCGGUAAUUUAAACUCAACGUCUUUAUCUCGUCUUGAAUCAUUUCUUCUCGUCGUUUUUAGAUUAUAAAUGGCUAAAGACUUGCAAGAGAUUUGGUUUUGUAAUAACUUCGUUUGGAUUUGUCAUCUUAUGACUUACGAGAGAUCGUUUGGUUUAAUUUGUUGUUAAUUUUGAUUUUUGCGAAUGAGUUGAUGGCGGCUGCGGCGGAGAAGCGAAUGGCAGCAUCUGCAUCGGCUGCUGUGGCGAAGAGUGGUUUUCAGUAAGUUCCAAAUCCUAUGUGUAGAAAUUGUGCUGAGUACAAAUAUAUUAAUCAACAGAACGCAGAUGGAUUUGCAAGGACAACCAGGAUAAAGCUUUUAUAAAUUGCUCAGUUCCACAAAGAGAAAUCAAACGCUGACAUUAACGAGGAGUUGGAUUUAUUUGAAGGAUCUUGUGAGGAAGAUGCUUGUAAAAAUACUCGAGGGAACUCCAGUCAGUUGCCUCAAAAGCAAUCUACAGCAGGUAACCUUUGGCCCAUCGGAUUUGAGUACUAGAAAGGGAUUUCGAGAUGUCAAUGAAUUUGGCGAUUCGGUAUCGGGGAAGCCGUUGCAGUUAACAAAUGAGUCCAGUGAAUUAACUCAAGUUCAAACCAUUUGGGCCGCAUUGCUUUGGCGAAUCAAAACAACGAGCAAGAGAAUUGUUUUUUGUGAAGAUGUUUUCAGAUUAAAAAAUGUGAGAACUUGAAGAAAGUCAACUUUGAGAGUAGGUUAAUUAUGCCGGUUUUGGAUUGAACAUCGUCACUAGAUGUUGUAUGAAACUGGAUUGGCUGGUGCUUACGAAUGGUAUAGAGGUGAAGUUACAAUGGAACGUGCUUAGUGUGAUUGAAGCUCCUACUGCUGCGAUACUGUACCGGAGAGUCCAGCCGCUCAGCAUCUGAUUCGGAUCAUUCAACGGAAUAUAAUCGGAGAUGGGAACCAGAAUCUCUGAAUCUCUAGAGGUUAUACCGAUCUUAAACUGGGAAACCGAGACAUUCAGCAAGCUCGCGUUAGCAUUCAUAAUAUUCUCAUCAGUCGCAAUAUUCCCAACCGUAUUUAUACCAUCUAUACCCUCCAUGUGGGUCACAGGCAUGAGCUUCGAUUAAACAUAGGGAUUUUACUAAUAAUGUUCGGUGUCACUAUCGGAGCAACGCUUCCUUAUUUCAACGGUUCCCUAUUUUACAACAAAAUUCAAGUGAGUAUCUUGAUCAAUUUAUCAACAUGAUCAAAUGUAAGCGGACACGCUAGAAAUUUGCUAAAGAGUGAAGAUCAAACUAAGUACAUGGACUGUUUUAAAGAGUCAAGAUUCAUGUCAUGUUAUUUGAUCAUGAGCUCAGUGAUGAAGCUGAGUUGUAGAUGAGGAUAAGGAGGAACGUCUCUUGAAGAUUCUAAGAUGGAUAGAAAGAUGCUUAAACCAAAGUGCAUCGAUUGCUACAGAUGAAUUAAAACACUCUAUCAAACACCAAACACUCAUAUUGAUGGUGAUGUUGAUUGGUCAAACCUCUCCAGACUCUUCUUUGUAACUGCUACCUUUUUCAACUUUCAUGCCAUUCGCAAUCUUCUAAUAGAUUCUAUGAUUGUCAUAGAGGUGGAGUAUAGUUGGAGAAAGAUUUGAUUUUUUUUGACUCAGUUCGACUUUCACUUUCUCUAUUAUUUUUUACGACAUUUAUGUGAAGAGUGAAUACGGGUGGUCCCGGUUCGUCUUGGAUGGGAGACGAGGUUUUACCGAUUAUUCCACUGUUGUGCCUUCGGACGGGUGGAGGUCGGGUUUCCGUGCAUUUGGGAGAGCCAAGAGGCUGGUGACUGUCAAGUAGUCGACCUUGGUUAUAACACCCGAUAUCACGAUGGUUAACACGUCGUUCCUUACCAUUAAAAAAAAAUAGAUUCUAUGAUUAAAUUGUGCUUCUUGUAUAAGCCG